CCUACGGGAGGCAGCAGUGAGGAAUAUUUGUCAAUGGGCGCGAGCCUGAUCCAGCCAAGUAGCGUGAAGGAUGACUGCCCUACGGGUUGUAAACCUCUUUUAUAAAGGAAUAAAGUGAGGCACGUGUGCCUUUUUGUGUGUACUUUAUUAAUAAGGAUCGGCUAACUCCGUGCCAGCAGCGGCGGAAAUACGGAGGAUCCGAGCGUUAUCCGGAUUUAUUGGGUUUAAAGGGAGGGUGGAUGGGUUGUUAAGUCAGUUGUGAACGUGUGCGGCUCACCCGUAAAAGUGCAAUUGAUACUGGCAGCCUUGAGAACAGUUGAGGUAGGCGGAAUUCGUGGUGAAGCGGUGAAA
Molecule: ribosomal RNA, 351 nt
Filed under: uncultured bacterium
Lineage: Bacteria
Description: partial 16S ribosomal RNA
Rfam family: Bacterial small subunit ribosomal RNA
Source: RNAcentral